This 468-nucleotide ribosomal RNA is filed under the name uncultured bacterium. RNAcentral's name for it is "partial 16S ribosomal RNA". It matches the Rfam family "Bacterial small subunit ribosomal RNA", at positions 28 to 507 of the family's 1533-position model. The record is from RNAcentral.
GACGAACGCUGGCGGCGUGCUUAACACAUGCAAGUCGAACGGAAAGGCUCUGCUUUUGUGGGGUGCUCGAGUGGCGAACGGGUGAGUAACACGUGAGUAACCUGCCCUUGACUUUGGGAUAACUUCAGGAAACUGGGGCUAAUACCGGAUAGGAGCUCCUGCUGCAUGGUGGGGGUUGGAAAGUUUCGGCGGUUGGGGAUGGACUCGCGGCUUAUCAGCUUGUUGGUGAGGUAGUGGCUUACCAAGGCUUUGACGGGUAGCCGGCCUGAGAGGGUGACCGGCCACAUUGGGACUGGGAUACGGCCCAGACUCCUACGGGAGGCAGCAGUGGGGAAUAUUGCAAAAUGGGCGGAAGCCUGAUGAAGCAACGCCGCGUGCGGGAUGACGGCCUUCGGGUUGUAAACCGCUUUCGCCUGUGACGAAGCGUGAGUGACGGUAAUGGGUAAAGAAGCACCGGAUAACUACGUG